GAUGAACGCUGGCGGCGUGCCUAAUACAUGCAAGUCGAGCGGACGGACGCGAAGCUUGCUUGUCUGACGUUAGCGGAGGACGGGUGAGUAACACGUGGAUACCCUCCCUAUAUGACUGGGAUAACUUCGGGACACCGGAGCUAAUACCAGAUGAUAUUUUGAUCCGCAUGGUUCUGGAGUGAAAGACGGUUUUGCUGUCACUUCUCGAUGGAUCCGCGCUGCAUUGGCGAGUUGGUAAGGUAACGGCUUACCAAGGCAACGAUGCAUAGCCGACCUGAGAGGGGGAUCGGCCACACGGGAACGUAGACACGGUCCAGACUCCUACGGGAGGCCGCAGUAGGGAAUCUUGCGCAAGGGGCGAAAGCCUGACGGUGCGACGCCGCGUGAGGGAUGGAGGUCUUCGGAUCGUAAAACUCUGUUAGUAGGGAAGAACAUAUGGGUAAGUAACUGGGCACAUCUUGACGGUACCUAAUCAGAAAGCCCCGGCUAACUACGUG
Molecule: ribosomal RNA, 497 nt
Filed under: uncultured bacterium
Lineage: Bacteria
Description: partial 16S ribosomal RNA
Rfam family: Bacterial small subunit ribosomal RNA
Source: RNAcentral